This 497-nucleotide ribosomal RNA is filed under the name uncultured bacterium. RNAcentral's name for it is "partial 16S ribosomal RNA". It matches the Rfam family "Bacterial small subunit ribosomal RNA", at positions 28 to 507 of the family's 1533-position model. The record is from RNAcentral.
GAUGAACGCUGGCGGCGUGCCUAAUACAUGCAAGUCGAGCGAACAGAUAAGGAGUUUGUUCCUUUGACGUUAGCGUCGGACGUGUGAGUAACACGUGCGUCACCUAUCUAUAUGCCUGGGAUAACUUCGGGGAACCGGAGCUACUACCGGCUAAUAUUUCGUACCGCUUGGUUCUCAAGUGCUUGCUGCUUUUUCUAUCACUUAUAGACGGACCCGGGUCUAAUUUUUUAGUUGGUAAGGUAACGACUUACCAAGGCAACGGUGCGAAGCCGAACUGAGAGGUUGAGAAGCAAAACGGGAAGUGAGACAGGGACCAGAAUCCUACGGGAGGCAACAGUGGGGAAUAUUGGACAAUGGGCGCAAGCCUGACGGAGCAACGCCGCGUGGGUGAAGAAGGAGUUCGGGUAGUAAAACUCAAUUAGUGGGAAAGAAAAGACGCGGAAAAAAGUGACGACGGCUUGACGGUAGGCAAAGAAAAAGCUACGGCCAACUACGUG